AACGAACGCUGGCGGCAUGCCUAACACAUGCAAGUCGAACGAUUGCCUUCGGGUGAUAGUGGCGCACGGGUGCGUAACGCGUGGGAAUCUGCCCUUAGGUUCGGAAUAACAGCUGGAAACGGCUGCUAAUACCGGAUGAUAUCGCGAGAUCAAAGAUUUAUCGCCUGAGGAUGAGCCCGCGUUGGAUUAGGUAGUUGGUGGGGUAAAGGCCUACCAAGCCGACGAUCCAUAGCUGGUCUGAGAGGAUGAUCAGCCACACUGGGACUGAGACACGGCCCAGACUCCUACGGGAGGCAGCAGUGGGGAACAUUGGACAAUGGGCGCAAGCCUGAUCCAGCAAUGCCGCGUGAGUGAUGAAGGCCCUAGGGUUGUAAAGCUCUUUUACCCGGGAAGAUAAUGACUGUACCGGGAGAAUAAGCCCCGGCUAACUCCGUG
Molecule: ribosomal RNA, 435 nt
Filed under: uncultured bacterium
Lineage: Bacteria
Description: partial 16S ribosomal RNA
Rfam family: Bacterial small subunit ribosomal RNA
Source: RNAcentral